AACGAACGCUGGCGGCAGGCCUAACACAUGCAAGUCGAGCGGACCCUUCGGGGUUAGCGGCGGACGGGUGAGUAACGCGUGGGAAUAUGCCCUUCUCUACGGAAUAGUCCUGGGAAACUGGGGGUAAUACCGUAUACGCCCUUUGGGGGAAAGAUUUAUCGGGGAAGGAUUAGCCCGCGUUGGAUUAGGUAGUUGGUGGGGUAAUGGCCUACCAAGCCGACGAUCCAUAGCUGGUUUGAGAGGAUGAUCAGCCACACUGGGACUGAGACACGGCCCAGACUCCUACGGGAGGCAGCAGUGGGGAAUCUUAGACAAUGGGGGCAACCCUGAUCUAGCCAUGCCGCGUGAGUGAUGAAGGCCUUAGGGUUGUAGAGCUCUUUCAGCUGGGAAGAUAAUGACGGUACCAGCAGAAGAAGCCCCGGCUAACUCCGUG
Molecule: ribosomal RNA, 433 nt
Filed under: uncultured bacterium
Lineage: Bacteria
Description: partial 16S ribosomal RNA
Rfam family: Bacterial small subunit ribosomal RNA
Source: RNAcentral